UUCAAAAUUAAUCCCUCUUCCUUCAAAUCAGCCAUCUACCCAUCCUUCUAGACUUUGGGAAAAUUUCAUUUUUGCAAGCAAGAGGGAAAGAGUUCAAGAGAGGAAAUUCAUGGUGGUGUUUUGUUUGGUUGCUAGGUUCAAGGUUUGAAGUGGAAUCUCAAGUGGGAAGCUUAUUCUAGUAAGAGUUUAUUUCAAACAAGGUUAAUUAUGGAUGCCCUUAUGGUUGAGCGUGAAGUUGGUUGAGGUUUGAAAUGCAAAAGUGAGACGAGCCUAUGCCAUUUUAAAGGAUUAAAGAUGUACAAGUUAUUAUACAACAUGAUGGUUCGUAAUGAAGAAGCAGAAGUCGCUGGAAGUUUCGCAUCAAUUGUGUUAGUGUUAUUUCAGAGGUAUAAGACGAGCAUUUUCUAUAUAUUAUU
Long non-coding RNA from Medicago truncatula (barrel medic), 416 nucleotides. RefSeq lists it as uncharacterized. NCBI's taxonomy places the organism in Eukaryota, Viridiplantae, Streptophyta, Magnoliopsida, Fabales, Fabaceae. The transcript is spliced from 3 exons. The record is from RefSeq and is a predicted model, not a curated record.